RNAcentral lists this ribosomal RNA (288 nucleotides) under Verrucaria elaeomelaena. Its description in RNAcentral is "partial small subunit ribosomal RNA". Lineage: Eukaryota; Fungi; Ascomycota; Eurotiomycetes; Verrucariales; Verrucariaceae. The record is from RNAcentral.
AAGGAAGUAAAAGUCGUAACAAGGUUUUCCCAGAUCCUUCUGAAGCCUUUAACGCAACGACUAUAACCAUGUGUUGAGUCCACUCCCUGUGGUGGGCGACGUCACCUCUGUGCUGGAAUCCCCUCUGGUGAGAUCAGCAGCCGAACCUGUCCACGUUCGGUCCACAGAUUAGAUGGUGGCGGUCAGCGGUCGAUGCCUGCGGGUACGCCCUGAUCCAGGUAUAAUCGGUCUCCAUGGCCUCUCAUGGAUGAGCAACGUUCCGUAGGUGAACCUGCGGAAGGAUCAUUA